UUAUUUUAACAAAUUAAAGUUGAGUGAUUGAAAUAAAAUAACCACAUAAAUUGAUAACAGUUAGUGCAAUUUACCUAAAUUUCAACUUGUUUAAACUCGAGAAUUGACUCAUCUAUAGGCUCAUGAGUAUAUAUGUAUAACUAUGACUAAUAAUAAGAUAAUUAAAUUAAUUAACAAUAACAACAACAACAACAACAACUCAGUCUUAGUCCCAAACUAGCUAGGUGAAAAUCACCAUUAUCAAAGCGCGCCUGAGGCACAAGGCACAGCCCCAAGCGCCCGAAGUUAGGAAAGGUGCAGCAGCUCAUCGAAGCGCAUCGAGGUGUGCCUCAAGGAGGCAAGGCGCAAAUAAACAAAGUGGCUAGGGUUUCACUUUUAAAAGUGCACCAGCAGCCAGUGAAAAGAAGAAGAAAAAGAAGACGGAAAGGAGAGAUCAAACCGGGGAUUUCCAACAGGCAUGUUUUAAUUUUUCUU
RNAcentral lists this unclassified non-coding RNA (474 nucleotides) under Hevea brasiliensis (rubber tree). Lineage: Eukaryota; Viridiplantae; Streptophyta; Magnoliopsida; Malpighiales; Euphorbiaceae. The record is from RNAcentral.